GAUGAACGCUGGCGGCGUGCCUAAUACAUGCAAGUCGAGCGAACUGAUUAGAAGCUUGCUUCUAUGACGUUAGCGGCGGACGGGUGAGUAACACGUGGGCAACCUGCCUGUAAGACUGGGAUAACUUCGGGAAACCGAAGCUAAUACCGGAUAGGAUCUUCUCCUUCAUGGGAGAUGAUUGAAAGAUGGUUUCGGCUACCACUUACAGAUGGGCCCGCGGUGCAUUAGCUAGUUGGUGAGGUAACGGCUCACCAAGGCAACGAUGCAUAGCCGACCUGAGAGGGUGAUCGGCCACACUGGGACUGAGACACGGCCCAGACUCCUACGGGAGGCAGCAGUAGGGAAUCUUCCGCAAUGGACGAAAGUCUGACGGAGCAACGCCGCGUGAGUGAUGAAGGCUUUCGGGUCGUAAAACUCUGUUGUUAGGGAAGAACGAGUACAAGAGUAACUGCUUGUACCUUGACGGUACCUAACCAGAAAGCCACGGCUAACUACGUGCCAGCAGCCGCAGUAA
This 514-nucleotide ribosomal RNA is filed under the name uncultured bacterium. RNAcentral's name for it is "partial 16S ribosomal RNA". It matches the Rfam family "Bacterial small subunit ribosomal RNA", at positions 28 to 523 of the family's 1533-position model. The record is from RNAcentral.